Molecule: ribosomal RNA, 429 nt
Filed under: Chloroflexota bacterium
Lineage: Bacteria; Bacillati; Chloroflexota
Description: Chloroflexi bacterium partial 16S ribosomal RNA
Rfam family: Bacterial small subunit ribosomal RNA
Source: RNAcentral
UGGGGAAUAUUGCACAAUGGGCGCAAGCCUGAUGCAGCCAUGCCGCGUGUAUGAAGAAGGCCUUCGGGUUGUAAAGUACUUUCAGCGGGGAGGAAGGGAGUAAAGUUAAUACCUUUGCUCAUUGACGUUACCCUCAGAAGAAGCACCGGCUAACUCCGUGCCAGCAGCCGCGGUAAUACGGAGGGUGCAAGCGUUAAUCGGAAUUACUGGGCGUAAAGCGCACGCAGGCGGUCUGUCAAGUCGGAUGUGAAAUCCCCGGGCUCAACCUGGGAACUGCAUUCGAAACUGGCAGGCUAGAGUCUUGUAGAGGGGGGUAGAAUUCCAGGUGUAGCGGUGAAAUGCGUAGAGAUCUGGAAGAAUACCGGUGGCGAAGGCGGCCCCCUGGACAAAGACUGACGCUCAGGUGCGAAAGCGUGGGGAGCAAACAGG